UUGGCCUUGACAUAUUAAGAACUUUCCAGAGAUGGAUUGGUGCCUUCGGGAACUUAGAUACAGGUGCUGCAUGGCUGUCGUCAGCUCGUGUCGUGAGAUGUUGGGUUAAGUCCGCAACGAGCGCAACCCUUUUCCUUAUUUGCCAGCGGGUAAUGCCGGGAACUUUAAGGAUACUGCCAGUGACAAACUGGAGGAAGGCGGGGACGACGUCAAGUCAUCAUGGCCCUUACGGCCAGGGCUACACACGUGCUACAAUGGUCGGUACAAAGGGUUGCUACCUCGCGAGAGGAUGCUAAUCUCAAAAAAGCCGAUCGUAGUCCGGAUCGCAGUCUGCAACUCGACUGCGUGAAGUCGGAAUCGCUAGUAAUCGCGGAUCAGAAUGCCGCGGUGAAUACGUUCCCGGGCCUUGUACACACCGCCCGUCACACCAUGGGAGUUUGUUGCACCAGAAGUAGGUAGUCUAACCGCAAGGAGGACGCUUACCACGGUGUGGCCGAUGACUGGGGUGAAGUCGUAACAAGGUAGGCGUAGAUGA
This 535-nucleotide ribosomal RNA is filed under the name uncultured bacterium. Its description in RNAcentral is "bacterial SSU rRNA". It matches the Rfam family "Bacterial small subunit ribosomal RNA", at positions 975 to 1509 of the family's 1533-position model. The record is from RNAcentral.